RNAcentral lists this ribosomal RNA (373 nucleotides) under uncultured bacterium. Its description in RNAcentral is "bacterial SSU rRNA". It matches the Rfam family "Bacterial small subunit ribosomal RNA", at positions 523 to 898 of the family's 1533-position model. The record is from RNAcentral.
AUACGGAGGGUGCAAGCGUUAUCCGGAUUUAUUGGGUUUAAAGGGUCCGUAGGCGGACUCGUAAGUCAGUGGUGAAAUCUCAUAGCUUAACUAUGAAACUGCCAUUGAUACUGCGGGUCUUGAGUAAAGUAGAAGUGGCUGGAAUAAGUAGUGUAGCGGUGAAAUGCAUAGAUAUUACUUAGAACACCAAUUGCGAAGGCAGGUCACUAUGUUUUAACUGACGCUGAUGGACGAAAGCGUGGGGAGCGAACAGGAUUAGAUACCCUGGUAGUCCACGCCGUAAACGAUGCUAACUCGUUUUUGGGCUUUCGGGUUCAGAGACUAAGCGAAAGUGAUAAGUUAGCCACCUGGGGAGUACGUUCGCAAGAAUGAA